This 1814-nucleotide small RNA is filed under the name Pongo abelii (Sumatran orangutan). Its description in RNAcentral is "processed transcript". Lineage: Eukaryota; Metazoa; Chordata; Mammalia; Primates; Hominidae. The record is from RNAcentral.
UCUCGGGCGAAGAGCUACUGCACUUACCCAGGCUUAGGAAGCGGGUGUUUAAGCCAUGGGUUAGAGGGCUCGUAAGCACGCCCGGUCCUUUCCCUGAGGCUAUGAAACGGUGGCUCCACGGACUCCGCUCGGCCGACUGACCUUUCGCCGCCCUGCCCCAGCAGCCGGAGGGUUUCUACCAGUGGAGCCGGGGUCUGGUCUCCACAGCCCAGUAGCCCGCUAGCCCGGCCCCCUCCCGCUAGUCGUAAAGUGCAGUAAAGGCACCAGUAUUUUGCGGCACCGUAGUCUCUCUUCUCCUGAAGUUUGAAAUGCUUUAUCUCAUCGGCUUGGGCCUGGGAGAUGCCAAGGACAUCACAGUCAAGGGCCUGGAAGUUGUUAGACGCUGCAGUCGCGUGUAUCUGGAAGCCUACACCUCAGUCCUGACUGUAGGGCAGGAAGCUUUGGGAUAGAGAAGUUAACAAACUUGCCCAAGUUCAUGCAGAUAGUGAAUGAUAGAGCCAGGAGAUGAACUAAAGCAGUCCUGAGUUGAAGUCUGCCACUCUUUUUAUUAUUAUUAUUAUUUCUUAUUUUUUGUUUUUAUUUUGAGACGGAGUCUCGCUCUGUUGCCCAGGCUGGAAUGCAGUGGUGUGAUCUCGGCCCCCUGCAACCUCUGCCUCUUGGGUUCAAGCAAUUCUUCUGUCACAGCCUUCUGAGUAGCUGGGAUUACUCAGAAGUAGCUGGGAUUACGCAGUAGUAGUGUGCCAUUGUGCCCGGCUAAUUUUUGUAUUUUUAGUAGAGAUGAGAUUUCACCAUGUUGGCCAGGCUGGUCUCGAACUCCUGACCUCAGGUGAUCCACCUGCCUCGUCCUCCAAAGUGCUGUGAUUAUAGGAAGAGUUUUAUGGAAGAAAAUUGAUUCUUGCUGAUAGAGAAGAAGUGGAACAAGAAGCAGAUAAUAUUUUAAAGGAUGCUGAUAUCAGUGAUGUUGCAUUCCUUGUGGUUGGUGAUCCAUUUGGGGCUACAACACACAGUGAUCUUGUUCUAAGAGCAACAAAGCUGGGAAUUCCUCAUAGAGUUAUUCACAAUGCCUCCAUAAUGAAUGCUGUAGGCUGCUGUGGUUUACAGACAUCAAAGUAAAGGAGCAGUCUUUGGAAAAUCUAAUCAAGGGAAGGAAGAUCUAUGAACCUCCACGGUAUAUGAGUGUAAACCAGGCAGCCCAGCAGCUUCUGGAGAUUGUUCAAAAUCAAAGAAUACGAGGAGAAGAACCAGCAAUUACCGAGGAGACACUUUGCGUUGGCUUAGCCAGGGUUGGAGCCGACGACCAGAAAAUUGCAGCAGGCACUUUACAGCAAAUGUGUACUGUGGACUUGGGAGAACCAUUGCAUUCCUUGAUCAUCACAGGAGGCAGCAUACAUCCAAUGGAGAUGGAGAUGCUAAGUCUGUUUUCCAUACCAGAAAAUAGCUCAGAAUCUCAAAGCAUCAAUGGACUUUGAACAUAGAUAUUUACUAUUGUCUGAUGUAAAUUUCAGCCAUAUAUAGAUUGAUAUGGUUUGGCUGUAUCCCCACCCAAGUCUCAUCUUGAAUUUUAAUCCUCAUAAUUCCCAGGUGUUGUGGUAGGUAAUUGAAUCAUGGGGGCAGUUUUCCUCAUGCUAUUCUCAUGAUAGUGAGCUUUCAUGAGAUCUGAUGGUUUUAUAAGCGCCUGGCAUUUCCCCUACUGGCUCUCAUUCUCACUCUUGCCGCGCUGUAAAGAAGUGCCUUCCACCAUGAUUGUUAAGUUUCCUGAGGCCUUCCCAGCCGUGUGGAACUGUGAGUCGAAAAUUAAACCUCUUUUAUAAUUA